CCUACGGGCGGCAGCAGUGGGGAAUAUUGGACAAUGGGGGCAACCCUGAUCCAGCCAUGCCGCGUGUGUGAAGAAGGCCCUCGGGUUGUAAAGCACUUUCAGUGAGGAAGAACGCCUGGUGGUUAAUACCCAUCAGGAAAGACAUCACUCACAGAAGAAGCACCGGCUAACUCCGUGCCAGCAGCCGCGGGAAUACGGAGGGUGCGAGCGUUAAUCGGAAUUACUGGGCGUAAAGCGCGCGUAGGUGGCUUGAUAAGCCGGUUGUGAAAGCCCCGGGCUCAACCUGGGAACGGCAUCCGGAACUGUCAAGCUAGAGUGCAGGAGAGGAAGGUAGAAUUCCCGGUGUAGCGGUGAAAUGCGUAGAGAUCGGGAGGAAUACCAGUGGCGAAGGCGGCCUUCUGGACUGACACUGACACUGAGGUGCGAAAGCGUGGGUAGCAAACAGGAUUAGAUACCCUUGUAGUC
This 465-nucleotide ribosomal RNA is filed under the name Vreelandella stevensii. Its description in RNAcentral is "partial 16S ribosomal RNA". It matches the Rfam family "Bacterial small subunit ribosomal RNA", at positions 338 to 795 of the family's 1533-position model. The record is from RNAcentral. Lineage: Bacteria; Pseudomonadati; Pseudomonadota; Gammaproteobacteria; Oceanospirillales; Halomonadaceae.